UACGUAGGGGGCAAGCGUUGUCCGGAAUUAUUGGGCGUAAAGCGCGCGCAGGCGGUCGUUUAAGUCUGGUGUUUAAGCCCGGGGCUCAACCCCGGUUCGCAUCAGAAACUGGAUGACUUGAGUGUAGGAGAGGAAAGUGGAAUUCCACGUGUAGCGGUGAAAUGCGUAGAGAUGUGGAGGAACACCGAUAGCGAAGGCAGCUCGCUGGGACGGUACUGACGCUGAGGUGCGAAAGCGUGGGGAGCGAACAGG
RNAcentral lists this ribosomal RNA (252 nucleotides) under uncultured bacterium. Its description in RNAcentral is "partial 16S ribosomal RNA". It matches the Rfam family "Bacterial small subunit ribosomal RNA", at positions 524 to 776 of the family's 1533-position model. The record is from RNAcentral.